RNAcentral lists this ribosomal RNA (253 nucleotides) under uncultured bacterium. RNAcentral's name for it is "partial 16S ribosomal RNA". It matches the Rfam family "Bacterial small subunit ribosomal RNA", at positions 524 to 776 of the family's 1533-position model. The record is from RNAcentral.
UACGGAGGGUGCAAGCGUUGUUCGGAUUGACUGGGCGUAAAGGGCGUGUAGGCGGUUGGUCAAGUCUGGUGUGAAAGCCCGGGGCUUAACCCCGGAAGUGCAUUGGAAACUAGCCAGCUAGAGCGCGAGAGAGGAGGGUGGAAUUCCUGGUGUAGCGGUGAAAUGCGUAGAUAUCAGGAGGAACACCGGCGGCGAAGGCGGCCCUCUGGCUCGUUGCUGACGCUGAAACGCGAAAGCGUGGGGAGCAAACAGG